Balaenoptera musculus (blue whale) is the source of this 548-nucleotide long non-coding RNA. RefSeq lists it as uncharacterized. NCBI's taxonomy places the organism in Eukaryota, Metazoa, Chordata, Mammalia, Artiodactyla, Balaenopteridae. The transcript is spliced from 3 exons. The record is from RefSeq and is a predicted model, not a curated record.
CGAGCCUGGUCUCCUCAGGACUCGCUGGGGCUUUGGCUUCUGGAACACAUGGGGCUGAAUCCAUGCUGACAACGCGGGGGCUUCAGGACAACACAGGGUCGAGUCCACGCUAACGGGAGCCAGGUCUCCUCAGGAGUUGCUGAGGCUUCGGCUUUGGGACGUUGUGGAGUCCAGUUCACGCUGACGGGAGCCCCGUCUCCUCAGGACCGGCCGGGAGGUGGCGCGGCUGACGGAAAAGUGUCUACUGCACCCCAGGUAAUCCACAGGACCCAAGACAUGGUAGCUACUAAUAUACUCUUCCCACGGUGCCUCUUAAUACCAUGCGGACUCCUACAAGGGAAAUAAGUAUCACAACUUUGGUUGAACUUGGUCUGGUCUCAGAUUUACCUGAUGGUCACCACUCGUAGUUCCUGCAGAGCCCAGAGAUUUCUCCUUGAAGGAAAGGUUCUGGAAAAAUCGGAGGGAUAAAUAAAGAAUGCAGCUGAUUCCCACCUUGUGCUGAUGCCCAAGAGGGUGAUGAGAGUAGGUGUUUUCUCAUUAGAAUUUUU